Molecule: unclassified non-coding RNA, 1072 nt
Filed under: Hevea brasiliensis (rubber tree)
Lineage: Eukaryota; Viridiplantae; Streptophyta; Magnoliopsida; Malpighiales; Euphorbiaceae
Source: RNAcentral
UGAGGAGGAAGAAUAAUUCAAGAUGCAAACCUCUGCCACCAUCCAAGAGGCUAAGGCUUGAGGCUCAGAGGGUUCUGAAGGAAAGAGUUCAGGACAUUGCAGAUAAGAAAGGCAUCAAGCUAAGGUUCUGCAACCUCAAGGAGUGCGAGAAUCACAUUCAUACCUUGGAUAGCCCAUGUGCCAAUAUUAGAAUGGAGAUCGGUUGGCCUGCUGGAGUACCAUUUGUUCAUCCCCAUGAUUUGCCGAAUAAGGCAAAGAUAGGUUUUCUUGAAGCAUAUGAGCCUGGGUGGACAGCAACUCAUGGUAUGGAGCUAAGUCUGACCGAAACUGGACAAGGCAGUCAACACUCGGCCAAUUGUACCUGAAUCAAUUUCUAUGUUUUCCAAAUGGCAAUGAUCCUUGAUAAGCUUCUGACUAGGUUUGACAGAAUUGAUCUCCCUGGUUUACUGUCAGUUAUGGCAUUAAGCAGCUCGUGGUUGCAUUUUGGGGUCAUAGUACUUUCAUUGUGUUGAUGCAUCAAUUCUCCCAAGAUGACAUAGCAAAUUGUGUGUUGUUCUUGGGCUGUGACUGAGAUUCUAUAUUGGUGGUUCUACUGAAGCUUAAUUUAUUUUCUUAUGUAUUUAUACUCUUAUAGUGUGCUCGUUGAGCACAGUGCACUGUUUUGUAGAACUGAACAAAUAACAAUAAGACAUGCAGAUUAGAAGCCUUGAGAGAGAGCUACUAAUUUAAUUCUGCGCAUUAUCCAUGGCCUCUGGUGCAGAGUUGAGGCAACACUACCUUCAUUCUCCAGACUCUGUAUGAGAAUAAAAGGUUUCGGUUACAAUUGAAUAAGAAUAAAAUUACUAUUUCCGUUGCUUUUCAAAAAGUACCUGCUGGAGUCGCAUUACAAAGUCUUCCCAACAUAUAAUUUUUUACAUCUGAGCUCUGUACACUCUGUGAAUUUCUGUAGCUGUUUUCAGGUCCACAAAUCUUGGAUGCUCACUGCAUGGCAGGUUCUAAUAUUAAUAGGUGAAGAAGUUGUGUACUAGUUCAUGAGGCUUGCAAUGCCUGUAUAAUCAUGAAUCACUGGCAU